This is a non-coding RNA of Hydra vulgaris (swiftwater hydra), 676 nucleotides long. Lineage: Eukaryota; Metazoa; Cnidaria; Hydrozoa; Anthoathecata; Hydridae. The record is from RefSeq and is a predicted model, not a curated record.
UAAGACAAUAGUUUAGUUUAUUGUGUAUAUAGACUAUUUUCUAAACUUUAUUACAGUUUGUAUAUAAACUGUAAAUAUACACUCUAAAAACAGUCCAUUUAAAAAAGUCACGGAUUGCGCUUUUUCGUUAAAUUAACGGAUUAAUUCGUUACCAAAAACCAGAAAAUUAACGGAGUAAAAAUUAACUAUUUACGGAUUCUUUGAAAUUUCGUUAAUUCAACGGAUUAAAUAUUCUAAUCGGUCAAAAAAAAUUUUCAGUAUAUUAUAGCUUUUUAUUUUGAAAAUGAUAAAGUUUUGAAUGCGUUUUUCUCACAUUUACAUUUACAUCGUAGAUAAAAGUUGGUUGCAACACAUGGCAUUUGUUAUCCCACUAAUUUGCUGCUUUAGAGGCACGGCAUUUAGUGUCACAUUGUAGGUUUAAAUUGGUUGUAGAAUUUAUAUUGAAACUUGCAUAUUUAUUUACUUGAGUUUAAUCUAAGUUUAUAUUUGGUGCGUUUGUAUUAUUUUAGAAUUUACUGUUUUAGACACGUGGCAUGUGGUACCCCACUGUAAGUUUGAAUUGACACUUGGUAUAAGCUGUCAUACUAAUUUGCUGUUUUAGACACGUGACUUGUGAUAUCCCACUGUAAGUUUGAAUUAGUAAAUUUAAAAAAAAUUGUGUUUUAACUUGCAUUUC